RNAcentral lists this transfer RNA (72 nucleotides) under Candidatus Magasanikbacteria bacterium RIFOXYA2_FULL_40_20. RNAcentral's name for it is "tRNA-Asn". It matches the Rfam family "tRNA". From Rfam's summary of the family: Transfer RNA (tRNA) molecules are approximately 80 nucleotides in length. Lineage: Bacteria; Candidatus Magasanikiibacteriota. The record is from RNAcentral. RNAcentral also lists the same sequence under 2 other names.
UCCCAGAUAGUUCAGUGGUAGAACGCCACGCUGUUAACGUGGAUGUCGUAGGUUCGAGUCCUACUCUGGGAG